GCCAACGUAGCUCAGCUGGUAGAGCAGCGCCCUCGUAAUGCGCAGGUCGCGGGUUCGAGUCCCGCCGUUGGCUCCA
This 76-nucleotide transfer RNA is filed under the name Herpetosiphonaceae bacterium. RNAcentral's name for it is "tRNA-Thr". It matches the Rfam family "tRNA". From Rfam's summary of the family: Transfer RNA (tRNA) molecules are approximately 80 nucleotides in length. Their secondary structure includes four short double-helical elements and three loops (D, anti-codon, and T loops). Lineage: Bacteria; Bacillati; Chloroflexota; Chloroflexia; Herpetosiphonales; Herpetosiphonaceae. The record is from RNAcentral.